Molecule: long non-coding RNA, 341 nt
Filed under: Ananas comosus (pineapple)
Lineage: Eukaryota; Viridiplantae; Streptophyta; Magnoliopsida; Poales; Bromeliaceae
Description: long non-coding RNA (ACOM_LNC024372)
Source: RNAcentral
CCGAUCACCUGGCACACCUGCCCGAUCGCGCCGGCGCCGGUGAACUCGUCGGUGAUCUUCCCGCUGGGGCCUCCGCCGGAUGUCUUCGCCGGAGUUGGCGACGGCGCCGCCGCGGCGGCGGAGGUGGCGUACUCGACGGCGCGGGAGAGGAGGNUCUUCCCGCUGGGGCCUCCGCCGGAUGUCUUCGCCGGAGUUGGCGACGGCGCCGCCGCGGCGGCGGAGGUGGCGUACUCGACGGCGCGGGAGAGGAGGGAGGAGGCAGAGGGGCGGCGGCGAGAGGCGGAGCGGAGGAGGGAGGAGAGGACCCGGCGAGACGCCAUGGCCGGAUCUAGGGGUUUUCC